GGAGGAUGCGAGCGUUAUCCGGAAUCAUUGGGUUUAAAGGGUCCGUAGGCGGUUUAAUAAGUCAGUGGUGAAAUCUGGUCGCUCAACGAUCAAACUGCCAUUGAUACUGUUAGACUUGAAUAAUUGUGAAGUAACUAGAAUAUGUAGUGUAGCGGUGAAAUGCUUAGAUAUUACAUGGAAUACCAAUUGCGAAGGCAGGUUACUAACAAUUUAUUGACGCUGAUGGACGAAAGCGUGGGGAGCGAAC
Molecule: ribosomal RNA, 247 nt
Filed under: uncultured Flavobacterium sp.
Lineage: Bacteria; Pseudomonadati; Bacteroidota; Flavobacteriia; Flavobacteriales; Flavobacteriaceae
Description: partial 16S ribosomal RNA
Rfam family: Bacterial small subunit ribosomal RNA
Source: RNAcentral